RNAcentral lists this ribosomal RNA (424 nucleotides) under uncultured bacterium. RNAcentral describes it as "bacterial SSU rRNA". It matches the Rfam family "Bacterial small subunit ribosomal RNA", at positions 917 to 1344 of the family's 1533-position model. The record is from RNAcentral.
GGGCCCGCACAAGCGGUGGAGCAUGUGGUUUAAUUCGAUGAUACGCGAGGAACCUUACCAGGGCUUAAAUGCAGUUGGACAGGUCUGGAAACAGACCCUUCUUCGGACUAAUUGCAAGGUGCUGCAUGGUUGUCGUCAGCUCGUGCCGUGAGGUGUCAGGUUAAGUCCUAUAACGAGCGCAACCCCUGUGGUUAGUUGCCAGCGAGUCAUGUCGGGAACUCUAGCAAGACUGCCGGUGCAAACCGUGAGGAAGGUGGGGAUGACGUCAAAUCAUCACGGCCCUUACGUCCUGGGCCACACACGUGCUACAAUGGUAGGUACAGAGAGCAGCCACGUCGCAAGGCGGAGCGAAUCUGUAAAGCCUGUCACAGUUCGGAUCGGAGUCUGCAACUCGACUCCAUGAAGUCGGAAUCGCUAGUAAUCG